ACGGGUGAGUAACGCGUGGGAAUCUACCUAGUUCUACGGAACAACAGAGGGAAACUUCUGCUAAUACCGUAUACGCCCUACGGGGGAAAGAUUUAUCGGAAUUAGAUGAGCCCGCGUAAGAUUAGCUAGUUGGUGGGGUAAUGGCCUACCAAGGCGACGAUCUUUAGCUGGUCUGAGAGGAUGAUCAGCCACACUGGGACUGAGACACGGCCCAGACUCCUACGGGAGGCAGCAGUGGGGAAUAUUGGACAAUGGGCGCAAGCCUGAUCCAGCCAUGCCGCGUGAGUGAUGAAGGCCUUAGGGUUGUAAAGCUCUUUCAGUGGGGAAGAUAAUGACGGUACCCACAGAAGAAGCCCCGGCUAACUUCGUGCCAGCAGCCGCGGUAAUACGAAGGGGGCUAGCGUUGUUCGGAUUUACUGGGCGUAAAGCGCACGUAGGCGGAUUGGUCAGUUAGAGGUGAAAUCCCGAAGCUCAACUUCGGAACUGCCUUUAAUACUGCCAGUCUAGAGUCCGGAAGAGGUGAGUGGAACUCCUAGUGUAGAGGUGGAAUUCGUAGA
RNAcentral lists this ribosomal RNA (557 nucleotides) under Devosia sp. BvIRHM057. RNAcentral's name for it is "bacterial SSU rRNA". It matches the Rfam family "Bacterial small subunit ribosomal RNA", at positions 102 to 694 of the family's 1533-position model. The record is from RNAcentral. Lineage: Bacteria; Pseudomonadati; Pseudomonadota; Alphaproteobacteria; Hyphomicrobiales; Devosiaceae.